UGCCCAGGCUAGUCUUGAGCCUCCUGGGCUCAAGUGAUCUGCCCGCUUUGGCCUUCCAAAGUGCUGGGCUCAUAGGCAUGACACUGUGCCUGGACAGAUUUUUGUUAUACUGUUUAGAUAUGAUGGUAACUGAAUGAUCAUGCAAUCUCUGACCAUGUGACAUUCAGGGAUACCAAAAAUGACUUGAGAUGGGCCAAGGGAGAAUUGGAGAAGCAUACUUUGGCUGAAUACUUAGGCCAAAGUAUAAUUUGGAACAUUUCUUUUAAAAAAUCUACUCCCCUAUGCCCCCCACUUGCAGUACCUUACAAUUACAGUUAAUCUAGUAGCAGAUACUGGAUUGGGAUAUUAGGUAUUUACAGACCAAAUGCCCAUUGGGAUAUUACUAGGUAACAGGCAGUUUCACUCUGGUUCAUUGUAGAUUCAUCCAGUAAGCAUUUCUAGAGAACUGCUAUAUGAAAAUAUUGUGGAAAGUAUCAACUUUUUAAACUUUUGAUGUCAUGGCACCUAGAAGAUUAUUUUCUGAUACUCAUAUUCUAAGGGAAUUUUGUUUUCUGAGAUUUGUUUCUGUGGAAUUUCUAGUUCCCCAGUCUGCACUGAAAGCCUAAAUCAAGAGGAUAAUUUGAAAGGUGACCUCACUUUGCCAGAACCGUGGGUCUUCAUGAAAUAAGAGAUUUCAUUUGGUUUUUGUUUUGGUUUGCAUCCUCUCUAACUUUAGGUAGAAAUUGCUGUUAGGGCAAUCACCUACCUCACUAUAUUCCACUCUCUCUUCUGGAUAUUGGUGCUCAGCCCUUUUUUGAACCGCAAACCUUAUUAAUAAAAUAGUUUUCAUUC
Molecule: long non-coding RNA, 831 nt
Filed under: Homo sapiens (human)
Lineage: Eukaryota; Metazoa; Chordata; Mammalia; Primates; Hominidae
Description: HSALNT0305116
Source: RNAcentral